GACGAACGCUGGCGGCGUGCUUAACACAUGCAAGUCGAACGGAGCACCCUUGAAUGAGACUUCGGUCAAAGGAAAGGAAUGCUUAGUGGCGGACUGGUGAGUAACGCGUGAGGAACCUGCCUUUCAGAGGGGGACAACAGUUGGAAACGACUGCUAAUACCGCAUGACGCAUUCGGAUGGCAUCAUCUGAAUGCCAAAGAUUUAACGCUGAAAGAUGGCCUCGCGUCUGGUUAGAUAGUUGGCGGGGUAACGGCCCACCAAGUCGACGAUCAGUAGCCGGACUGAGAGGUUGACCGGCCACAUUGGGACUGAGAUACGGCCCAGACUCCUACGGGAGGCAGCAGUGGGGAAUAUUGGGCAAUGGGCGCAAGCCUGACCCAGCAACGCCGCGUGAAGGAAGAAGGCUUUCGGGUUGUAAACUUCUUUUAAGAGGGAAGAGCAGAAGACGGUACCUCUUGAAUAAGCCACGGCUAACUACGUGCCAGCAGCCGCAGUAA
Molecule: ribosomal RNA, 497 nt
Filed under: uncultured bacterium
Lineage: Bacteria
Description: partial 16S ribosomal RNA
Rfam family: Bacterial small subunit ribosomal RNA
Source: RNAcentral